This 834-nucleotide ribosomal RNA is filed under the name Atlantibacter hermannii. RNAcentral's name for it is "bacterial SSU rRNA". It matches the Rfam family "Bacterial small subunit ribosomal RNA", at positions 638 to 1447 of the family's 1533-position model. The record is from RNAcentral. Lineage: Bacteria; Pseudomonadati; Pseudomonadota; Gammaproteobacteria; Enterobacterales; Enterobacteriaceae.
AGGCUUGAGUCUUGUAGAAGGGGGGUAGAAUUACCAGGUGUAGCGGUGAAAUGCGAUAGAGAUCUGCGAGGAGAUACCGGUGGCGAAGGCGGCCCCCUUGGACAAAGACUGACGCUCAGGUGCGAAAGCGUGGGGAGCAAACAGGAUUAGAUAGCCCUGGUAGUCCACGCCCGUAAAUCGAUGUCGACUUGGAGGUUGUGCCCUUGAGGCGUCGGCUUCCGCGAGCUAACGCGUUAAGUCGACCGCCUGGGGCAGUACGGCCGCAGAGGCUUAAAGACUUCAAAUGAAUUGACGGGGGCCCGCACAAGCGGUGGAGCAUGUGCGUUUAAUUCGAUGCAACGCGAAGAACCUUACCUGGUCUUGACGAUCUCAGCAGAACUUUCCAGAGAUGGAUUGGUGCCUUCGGGAACUGUGAGACAGGUGCUGCAUGGCUGUCGUCAGCUCGUGUUGUGAAAUGUUGGGUUAAGUCCCGCAACGAGCGCAACCCUUAUCCUUUGUUGCCAGCGGUCCGGCCGGGAACUCAAAGGAGACUGCCAGUGAUAAACUGGAGGAAGGUGGGGAUGACGUCAAGUCAUCAUGGCCCUUACGACCAGGGCUACACACGUGCUACAAUGGCGCAUACAAAGAGAAGCGAACUCGCGAGAGCAAGCGGACCUCAUAAAGUGCGUCGUAGUCCGGAUUGGAGUCUGCAACUCGACUCCAUGAAGUCGGAAUCGCUAGUAAUCGUGGAUCAGAAUGCCACGGUGAAUACGUUCCCGGGCCUUGUACACACCGCCCGUCACAACCAUGGGAGUGGGUUGCAAAAAGAAAGUAGGUGAGCGUUAACCCUUCGGG